AGGGCGCAGGGUGGAUGCCUUGGCACUAAGAGCCGAUGAAAGACGUGAUAAGCUGCGAAAAGCUUCGGGGAGGAGCAAAUAUCCAUUGAUCCGGAGAUAUCCGAAUGGGGAAACCCACUUGAGCAAACCUCAAGUAUCCAUACGCCAAUCCAUAACGUAUGGAAGGGAACCGGGGGAACUGAAACAUCUAAGUACCCCGAGGAGAAGAAAGAAACCUCGAUUUCCAAAGUAGCGGCGAGCGAAAUGGAAAGAGCCCAAACCGUGGUGCGUGCACCGCGGGGUUGUGGACUGCAUAAGGUACUCGAAUCAAUAGCCGAACAGUUUUGGGAAAUCUGAUCAGAGAGGGUGAAAAUCCCGUAGGCGAAAUUGAUGAGAGGCUGGCAGGAUCCAGAGUACCACGAGACACGGGAAACCUUGUGGGAAGCAGGAGGGACCACCCUCCAAGGCUAAAUACUCCUCAGUGACCGAUAGCGCAUAGUACUGUGAAGGAAAGGUGAAAAGGACCCCGGGAGGGGAGUGAAAGAGAACCUGAAACCCUGUGUCUACAAGCUGUGGGACCUCUUUAUAUGAGGGACUGCGUACUUUUUGUAGAACGGUCCGGCGAGUUGUGCGUACUGGCGAGGUUAAGGACUUAAGGUCUGGAGCCGAAGUGAAAGCAAGCGUUAAUAGCGCGUCAAGUCAGUGAGUGCAGACCCGAAACCGGGUGACCUAUCCAUGUCCAGGUUGAAGCUUCCGUAAGAGGAAGUGGAGGACCGAACCCACAUCCGUUGAAAAGGGUGGGGAUGAGGUGUGGAUAGCGGAGAAAUUCCAAUCGAACCCGGAGAUAGCUGGUUCUCCUCGAAAUAGCUUUAGGGCUAGCCUCAUGAGAGUCUUAUGGAGGUAGAGCACUGAAUUGCCUAGGGGGCGUCAAAGCUUACCAAAGCAUAUCAAACUCCGAAUGCCAUCAAGAUGAUUCAUGGGAGUCAGACCAUACGAGAUAAGUUGGAUGGUCAAAAGGGAAAGAGCCCAGACCUACAGCUAAGGUCCCAAAGUGCGUGUUAAGUGGAAAAGGAUGUGGGGAUUCUAAGACAACUAGGACGUUGGCUUAGAAGCAGCCAUUCAUUGAAAGAGUGCGUAAUAGCUCACUAGUCGAGAGUCCCUGCGCCGAAAAUGUCCGGGGCUGAAACACGACACCGAAGCUUAGGAAUGUGUAAACAUUGGUAGAGGAGCAUUGCUGGCGGGAUGAAGCCAUACCGUAAGGAGUGGUGGACUGCUAGGAAGAGAGAAUGCCGGAAUGAGUAGCGAGAUGAAGGUGAGAAUCCUUCAGGCCGAAUAUCUAAGGUUUCCAGAGUAAAGCUGAUCUGCUCUGGGUAAGUCGGGGCCUAAGGCGAGGUCGAAAGACGUAGUCGAUGGAUAACAGGUUGAAAUUCCUGUACCGCAUAUAAACAGAACUGUGGGGACACAGACAGGGAAUGGAAUCCGGGAAUGGAAAUCCCGGUGCAAGCGAGGUAGGAGUGCUGUUGGCAAAUCCGCAGCACGAUCUGAAGACGUGACGCGUACCGAACAUAAGUAGGGAAGUCCAGGCCCCUGGCUGUCAAGAAAAGCCGCUAUUGUUUUAUAUGUGCCCGUACCGCAAACCGACACAGGUGGAUGAGGAGAGAAUCCUAAGGCCGACGGGAGAAGCAUUGUUAAGGAACUCGGCAAAAUGACUCCGUAACUUCGGGAGAAGGAGUGCCAUGAGAGUGGCCGCAGAGAAAUGGCCCAAGCAACUGUUUAGCAAAAACACAGGUCUAUGCAAAACCGCAAGGUGAAGUAUAUGGGCUGACGCCUGCCCGGUGCUGGAAGGUUAAGGGGAGAGGUUAGCGCAAGCGAAGCUUUGAACUUAAGCCCCAGUAAACGGCGGCCGUAACUAUAACGGUCCUAAGGUAGCGAAAUUCCUUGUCGGGUAAGUUCCGACCCGCACGAAAGGCGUAAUGAUUUGGGCACUGUCUCAACGAUACACCCGGUGAAAUUGAAAUACCAGUGAAGAUGCUGGUUACCUGCGCCAGGACGGAAAGACCCCAUGGAGCUUUACUCCAGUUUGAUACUGGGAUUCGGCAUGGUAUGUACAGGAUAGGUGGGAGACUGAGAAGGUAUGACGUCAGUUGUACCGGAGUCGCUGUUGGGAUACCACCCUUACCAUGUUGGAUUUCUAACCUGUGGCCGUAAGCCGGUCAGGGGACAAUGUCAGGCGGGGAGUUUGACUGGGGCGGUCGCCUCCGAAAGGGUAUCGGAGGCGCUCAAAGGU
This 2266-nucleotide ribosomal RNA is filed under the name human gut metagenome. RNAcentral's name for it is "bacterial LSU rRNA". It matches the Rfam family "Bacterial large subunit ribosomal RNA", at positions 14 to 2317 of the family's 2925-position model. The record is from RNAcentral.